AUUUACGUAUUUUUAUUGUGACUCAUCACCACCUGAGUAAACUAUAUUUCACUGAAUUUCGACUGUUCUCUAUACAGCGUAGCCUGCUGAUGAUAAGGUCAGGCUGUUAUAGGACUUACAAGUUAGAUCAGUUCCUUCUUUUGACUAUGAAUUUGUUUGCUGUUUUGCUUUCUGUUUGCAGCCAAAAUGACCGCCUUUCUUUGCAAUUGCUAUUCUGAAUAAAAGCUUUGACAUUUCCCAUAUUCUCUCCUUCUCUCUCCCAGUUCAAGUUGAUGAAGGAAGAGAGCAAGAACUCUACUAUUAUACUUCUUUUCUAAUGUAGCUGCAUGAAACUUGAUUCAGUAACUCCUUGGAGCUUGAUACCAAUGACAAAUAAGCUCAUCUGAAGCUCAUUAUCAAUACCAGUUUCCACCUGGUCUGGAUAACUAAAGAUUCCUGAAAUUGCAGACCUACUCAUAGCAUCUUCUACCCUAAAUAUCCUGAAUGGGUUAAUAAUUGUCUUGCUAAAAUACUGAGAGGAGCAGAACUGAUGAAGACUCAAAUACUUGGAUUCUGUGCUAUUGAAUCAGGCUGAAGCGAUGCCAAGAGGAAACAUCAAGACAUCAAAAUAAAUGCUGUAUGCGUUCUUAAAAUACAAGAAAUCAAGUGAGAUUUUGGAGCCAUAAAAUUAGAAGGGUUAAGGUUUGGAAGGGCACUGCCCAGAGCAUCAGCUGCUGUGCGCUGAGAGGAAGCAUGAGGACCCUGUGGGUGCCCAAAGAGGCUUUUGUGUCCAGAUCUGUGUUAAAGAUAAAUGAAAUCUUCUACAGUGAAGAACUGCAAGAGUUAGACAAGUUCUGUGAAAUAAAUGGCAUUGAGGUAAGGAGAGACUCCAUCAGCAAAUUAAAAGUGCAUGUGAGAAGCUUGUGGCAUCAGAUGACAGAGUACGGAUCUCCACCAUGCUACUGGUCUUCUGGCUCUGUUGGAAUCAGGGCAAUGAGGAUGUUAAGGAUCUCCUAUCAGAUAUAGAGCUUCAUGAAAGCUCUGGUCCCUAAAGCAAGCAUUUGACUGAUGGACUUACAAACAUUAUUGAAGAGUUUAUAUGAUUUUAAUUAAAAAAAAAAAAAAAAAAAUCCCUUCAGACAGCAGAAAGGUGAUCUUGUUUUUAUUUUCUUCUGAUUUGCUUUGAGAAAAUUGAGUUGUAUCUUAUGUAUCUAAUAUGUAUCUAAUGUAUCUUAUCACUUUUUUUUGUCUUGUUUAAAAUUUUUGACAGUUUUCUCACUGAUAUCUGCACACAUAUUAUCUAUUACUAAAGAUUCUAGUUCUAUUACAAUUCUGAUUUUGAGGGAAGCUUUAAGGCACUCGAUUGAAUGUCAAGUAAUGCAGUGUGGAAGAUAGCCAAAUGAAUGGUGGCUUGAGUCAUAAAAAAGACUGAAAGUCACAUGAAAAAAAAAAAAGCCAAGUAACAAUCAGAAUCAUGUUUAUGCAAUAAUGGCACCUGUCUGAACCCAUUGUCUUCAGGGUCUUGGUUCAGACUAUGGUACAGGAUGAUAGUUGGCAAUGGGGGAUGAUCUCUGAUAACUGAAAAUGCCAGAAUAUGUAUUGGUGAAUACAUCAUGCAGCAUUCAAUACUUUCUUUUAUGCAAAAGUCAUUUUCAGAGAUGGAUGACACAACAUUAAAUAAAUUAACAGUAUGUUUUAGCGUGGCA
Phasianus colchicus (ring-necked pheasant) is the source of this 1685-nucleotide long non-coding RNA. Lineage: Eukaryota; Metazoa; Chordata; Aves; Galliformes; Phasianidae. The record is from Ensembl.